RNAcentral lists this unclassified non-coding RNA (874 nucleotides) under Hevea brasiliensis (rubber tree). The record is from RNAcentral. Lineage: Eukaryota; Viridiplantae; Streptophyta; Magnoliopsida; Malpighiales; Euphorbiaceae.
AAAGAGCAAAACAUACAAACUAGGUCUAUCAACAUACGAAAGGAAAACAGAAGUCCACACAGUGUGGCUAGAGACAAGCCCAUCAAACCAAACCAACUCACAAAUCAACCCAACCCCAACCUAGAAACUCUAGGUAUAUAGAGAAUAACAUAACUAGAAGAGUACUCCGCCGACCACCUCUAUGAGCUGCCAUUGCUAGAAAAGCUGAGCAGAGAUUGAAGCUAACCCAUCAUUAGUUCAAUAAGGAGCAACCAAACGUCGCCCAUCACAACAUAACCUUUCACCCAUCAGCACUAACCUCCAUAUUUCUCCACAAACCUCAUUACUCAACUCCACCUCGCCAAAAGGAUGCUGUCGCAGAGCUCUCCAGCUCGCGUAGGCCAAUGGGACAACCUUCACUGUCAUGGUGUAGAAGCAAAUCCCAGAGAUGCGAGAUAGCUGAAGUAAUAAUUGUCCUUUUGAUACUCAAAGUAGACGCAAAAGACCAAUCACCAAAUGACACCCUUUAACCUUCAAAUAGCCAGCACAAUGGCAAGCCCCAUGCUACAAACAAACCAGACAGACACAGGAUUCCAAACAAAAGCUCUCACUAUUCACCCCUGCAUAAACAUAAUCCAAAAACUGUGCACACUAAAUCCAGGGAUGAGGGAGAGCUACCCCAAGUUUGUUUGGAGAGACAAAUGAUGACCGUUUUCUUUGGAGAGACAAAUGAUGACCGUUUUCUCUACCCUGAAGGGUAGGGAAAGCCAGGACGAGGUCUCCUCGGCGAUACCAGGAUUUAAAGCCAAGCAACAGAAUUAAGAGAAAAAUAUCUCUUGAAACAAAACAGAGAAAGCAAUCCUGGCCAGAUAUGAAAAAAUGAAAAAUAAACGGG